This 1088-nucleotide long non-coding RNA is filed under the name Zonotrichia albicollis (white-throated sparrow). RNAcentral describes it as "lncRNA (ENSZALG00000009944.1)". The record is from RNAcentral. Lineage: Eukaryota; Metazoa; Chordata; Aves; Passeriformes; Passerellidae.
UUUUUUUCUUUUUCCUACAAGGAUGGCAUUGCCAGAAAAUUUCUGUGAGGCUUUGAAGACUCCCUCCGUGUGAUCCUCCUGAGGAAUUCAUGUAGCAGAGGUUGUUGCGAGAGGAGCCUGGUCCAAUCCUCCAGAUACAGUAUAUCUGGUGCGGUGAUCAAAAUAAAUGUCUGAACGCAACAGAGCCAUGAGACUGAAGAAGGUGAAGAUGUGGAAUUGUGCAUCCAUAUUCAGUGGGGUUUUGGUGACAGAGGAAACCUUUUUGCCACUCUAUUUGCAGGGACAGCAAAGCUGCUGACAAAGUGUUAUGACCCAGCCCUGAAGGCGAAGGUAGCUGAGAACUACAGAGAUGAAUGACUGGAGUUGCCACAGGGCUAUAAAUCUCUUGGAUAACUGGUCUGGGACAUGCACAGACUGUGUGAGGUCCUUUCAAAAUCAAAACAGCAAAGAGAAAAAUCUGGAGAAGACAUCAUGAAGCAGCAAACCAGAGGGUCUUUUCUGAAAUAGGUAAAUGAACAUAUAUCUAAACUUUCUGAAGAAUCAAUGGUUGCUCCAACAGUAAGCAAGGAUGAGUCCUUUCCUCACCAGAUUUCUGUUUUAAAGGAUUGAGAGAAGGCUAACUGUAAGUACCAGACUCUACUGUUUUUUUUUUCUUCUCACUUUACUGUGAAAUUAUGCUGAAGCUAAUUGCCUCUCUGAGGCUAAUUGCCUCUGCUGCAUGUGGUUAAAAAAGAUUCAUCUUGGGUUUAGCUCAUGCUUUCUAUAAUUCCUUUAACACAGACUUCUCAUCCAAUUCUUCAGUGCUCUUUCUCUAGGGAAAUAGACAAAAACAACCCCAAAAUAAUUCGUCUGCAGCCUAUUUGAGUUUCUUAGGGUAUCAACCAGUCUUUGGAGGUGCUCCUUUGCUACUUUGGAGAGAUUAAGAGUAGUGUUCCCAACAUGAUAUAUAUUGUGCUGUGAUCUGUUUCAUGUGCCUCAAAAGAUACAGCUGGAAAGUAGAUGGCUCAGAAAACUCAUCUGUGAGGCAAAGAUUCAGCUUUUCAGAGUGAAACUCCAGCAUCUCAAUUCAUCAAACACAUAUUUUGUGU